GUUGAAACACCAGUUCCCAUACAAUCACCAAAGUUAAACAACGUCAAGCCUAAUCAGUAUCUAGAUGGAUGACCACUUGAGAAUACCAGGUGCUGUA
Molecule: non-coding RNA, 97 nt
Organism: Acanthosepion pharaonis
Lineage: Eukaryota; Metazoa; Mollusca; Cephalopoda; Sepiida; Sepiidae
Source: the annotation of a GenBank genome assembly